GCUGGGUGUGGUGGCACAUGCCUGUAAUCCCAGCAGCUCGGGAGGCUGAGGUAGGAAGAUCAUGAGUUCGAAGCCAGCCUCAGCAAAAGCAAGGCACUAAGCAGCUCAGUGAGACCCUGUCUCUU
RNAcentral lists this small RNA (125 nucleotides) under Marmota monax (woodchuck). The record is from RNAcentral. Lineage: Eukaryota; Metazoa; Chordata; Mammalia; Rodentia; Sciuridae.